GUCUACAGCCAUGCCACCCUGAACAAGCCCAAUGUCUGAUCUUGGAAGCUAAGGAGGGUCGGGCCUGGUUAGUACUGGAUAGGCGACCUCAUAGGGAGAUCAUGUGAUGUAGACA
Molecule: ribosomal RNA, 115 nt
Filed under: Pteropus alecto (black flying fox)
Lineage: Eukaryota; Metazoa; Chordata; Mammalia; Chiroptera; Pteropodidae
Source: RNAcentral